UUUGGUUUCUUGUUUUGGUGUUUACAUGUGAUUAGUUAGCAUGUUUUUGUGAUUUCUGUGUAUUUUUCUUCUACGUAUAAUUAAGAGCACCAGUAACCUGCUAGAGUUACCAUAGAUGCAAUACAAUAUAGGUACCAUUCUCCUUUUUUAAUGGCGCAAGAAACCCAACCUGUGUCGGUGUCAAAUUUUUACCUGGCGGGAAGAUCUUAGAUUGAGAUCGGAAUAUUUCGAAGGUCAAGGCUGGCUCAGCCAGUGUGGCCCGGCACCAGCCACCAUGGACCACUCGAGAACCCAGGAGUGGGAGAAGCUGCGUGCCACAAUAGCACAGUGGAAUGACAACCGGCUGGACCUGUUCGAGCUCUCAGAGCCGGACCAGAAGCUCAACUUCCAUGGCGUUAUGAGGUUCUACUAUCAGGACUCUGGUCAGAAAGUGUCCACCAAGUGUAUCCGCGUGUCUUCGGACGCCACCUCUCAGGAUGUCAUAGCGACCCUGAUUGAGAAGUUCCGGCCCGACAUGAGGAUGCUGUCCACGCCGCGAUUCGCCCUCUACGAGAUCCACGAGAGCGGAGCAGAGGAGCGAGAGCUGUCGCCCGACGAGCGUCCUCUGCACGUGCAACUCAACUGGCACCAGGACGACCGCGAGGGGCGCUUCCUGCUGCGGAACCUCAACGAAAAACGCUGGUCAUUGCGAGCACCCGGCGAAUCAACACUAGACGAAGGCAACUUCAAACGCAAACUCAGUAAACGAGAGAAGAAAGACCUGAAAAAGAAGGGCAAACUUCACAAGAUUAAGAGCAUCAAUGAUCACGAUUCAAGCGUGGCAGAAAAGCUAUAUACAGAGCUGCCGGAGACGAGUUUCACGCGUUCCAUCAGUAACCCGGAGGCAGUGAUGCGCCGCCGGCGACAGCAGAAGCUGGAGAAGAAGCUGCAGCAGUUCCGCAGCCGAGACGGAGGACCCGACACGGGCGGCACGCUCAAGAUUUACGGAGAGAGCCUGUGCAGCGACGUUCCAUACAAGACGCUGCUGUUGUCUGUGACCGAUACAGCCGCUGCCGUGGUGCAGGAGAUGCUCCAAAAGUACGGCAGGUACCGAGAGGAUCCCAACAACUACUGUCUCGUCCAGGUGGUGACCCAGGAGCCGCAGCAGGAGACCCGCGAGUACCGGGCGCCCACGGGACCUUACAACGAGUACAUUCUGGAGGACGAUGAGUGUCCACUGGCCAUCCUGAUCAACCACCCUCCCACGCCCGGCUCCAUCAUGUUCCACGUGCGCCGGCGGCCCAACGACUACCAGCCGAGGAAGAGGAAGAAGCUGCCCAACCAGCCGUCGACGCCGUCUGAGGUGGACCAUAGCUACCGGGGAACGGACGAGGCCAGCCUGCCGUUCCUGCUCGAACUGAACGCAGAUGGAUCGGACGUGCGCCACCAGGCUCCUAGACGGUACAGCCUGCGUCUGAAUGUUACGGAGGUCGGGUCGGAGCGCUCUCCGCAGGCGGGCGGCCAGUGUCUCCAGCUGGCGGGCCACAACGUGCACCCGCGCCACUGCGUCAUCGCCCACACGGAGGGUAUAGUGACGGUGACUCCGUGUGGACGGGAGGCCGAGACUUACGUCAACGGACAGCGGGUGUACGAGACCACCAUACUGCAGCACGGCUGUGUGGUGCAGUUCGGGCGCGUGUACCGGUUCCGGUUCCUGGACCCGGCGCACGAGGCGCACCAGCGUCCUAGGGGGCGCCGAGAGUCAGGCCGCGGCCACAACGAGAGCUACGCUGAGAGGUCGAACAACUACGCCAGUUUCCGGCGGGGCAGCGACCCGAUCCUGCCGGCCGUGCUCGAGUUCAGAGAGGAGACCGAGGACGCCUUCCUGCGGGCCGUCAUUACGCGGCUCGACCCGAGCAGCCUGCAGUUCAAACUGGCGCCCACCUAUACUCUCUACAUGGCCGCGAGGUUUCGGGCCAGCACCCACUAUCGCAGUGACCUGUCGCCCAACGAGAGAGCUCUAAGGCUCACCAACGUCCUGGCCAAGGUGGCCUCCAUGAUCCGAGAUGUUGUGCAGAUGCGUCGCGGUGACGCCAAUUCCCUGGCGUUCUGGAUGGCCAAUGCGUCCGAGUACCUGCACUUCCUCAAACAGGACCGGCACGUGAGCGCCUACAGCCGCGACGCCCAGGACAUCCUGGCCGAGAGCGUCCAGUCGGCAUUCUGGAACCUGGUGGAUAACGUUCAGUCGGAACUGGGCGGCUCCAUCGGACACUUCCUCGAGGACCGGGACGACUCGGAUGAGGAGGAGGGUACCACUGCCGAGGUUUUGAGUACUCUGGGUAACACGAUGGCGCUGCUGCGCCGCUGUCGGGUGAACGCCGCCCUCACCAUCCAGCUGUUCUCACAGCUCUUCCACUACAUCAACAUGGGCGUGUUCAACAUGCUCGUCAUGCCCGGACCGGUCAACUACUGCAGCAGGAUGUGGGGCGAGCGCCUGAAGCGUCGACUGAGCCGUACCGAGCUGUGGGCGGACCGCCAGGGCCUGGAGCUGGCGGCCGACUGUCACCUGGGCCGGGUGGUGCAGGCCGCUCAUCUACUGACGGCUCCCAAGAACAACGUGGACGACCUGACGGGUAUCACGAGCACGUGCUACAAGCUGAACUCCCUGCAGCUGAGGGCGAUGCUGGAGCGGUACCAGCCGGCGGCCGACGAGCCGGCCAAAAUACCCCCUCAGCUCAUCGACAAUAUUGUCAGGAUUGCCGAGAGCACGUCGGACGAGCUGGCCCGCCAGGACGGCCGGCCGGUGCGUCUGGAGGAGAGCAGGGACCUGCAGCUGCCGUUCCUCCUACCCGAGGACGGGUACUCGUCGGACAUCGUGCGCGGCAUACCCAACGGUCUGACCGAGUUUAUAGCGCCGCUGCAGCACGCGGGCCUGGCUCGGAUGAGCGAACAGCCCACCAGCUGGGGUUACUGGACCAUCUACAUGACGGGCCAGGAGCACCGGCCGCCGCAAAUGCGCAGCCCGUCAGCCAUGUCCAACCGGUCUAUGGGGGCGCGCGGCCCGCCGGGCGGGGGCGGGGGCGGUCCGCCGCCCGCCGAACCCGAGGUGCAGCUCAUCAAACUGCAAAAGUCCAACACCGGCAUGGGCCUGAGCAUCGUGGCCGCCAAGGGCCUGGGCCAGGAGCAGGCGGGCAUCUACGUCAAGUCUGUGGUGCGCGGCGGCGCGGCGGACCUGGAUGGGCGACUGGCGGCCGGGGACCAGCUACUAGAGGUGGACGGACACAGCCUGAUCGGCAUCACCCAGGAACAGGCGGCCGAGUACAUGAUGAAGACGGGCCCGGUGGUGCUGCUGCGCGUGGCUAAACAGGCUGCCGUCUACCACCGGCUGACGGCGCUACUCUCUCAGCCGUCACCCACCAUGUCCAGAGGGAGCCGACGUGCCAGUGAACGUGGCGGGAUGCCGCCCACCGGGCGCAUCCAGAGCGCAAAGUCGGUGCCGGCGCUGAGCUCGGACGGCGGCGACCGCGGCGGUCCGAUGGCCGGCGUCAGUCGCGGCCACCAGGAGACCUACAACCCGGGCUUCAACCUGUCGGCGUCCAACGCCAGCCUGGCGGCACUGCCGGGCCCCGGCGCGCCGACCGCCGCGCACGCCCGCUCGCGCUCCGUCCAAAACCUGCACAAACCGGGCGGCCCGGCCGGCGGCGGGCCCGGCCCGGCCCCGGGGCCCGCGCCGCCGCCCCGGCCCAUCUCCGUGCACGCCCACUACCAGCAGGGACAGCCCGGACAGAUGCCGGCGCAGAUGCUGGGACAGAUGCCGGGCGGGCCGCGCUCAGAGAUGCCCCGCUCCGUCUCCGAGCACGAGCACCUGCGGCACCGGCACUCCAGCGCCACGUACAGCAACACGGGCCCGGGCGCGUUCGAGCCGCCGCGGCCAGCCGGACCGGACCGGCCGUACAGCGAGCAGCUCUCGCCGGGUCUGGGGGCCGAGCCGGGCGGCCGCGGCGGCCCCGGGCCCGCGGACAGGCCCCCGGCACACGGCGGCGCGCCGGGCAACGGGCUGAUGUACGGCGAGCGGCCGCCCCACGGCUCCGCGGAGGGUAUGACAGGGUAUGGGUAUGAGCGACCCGUCUCGGCGCACGGGCCGCCCGAUGGAGGUAUGGCGCCGUAUGGGGACCGCCACGAGCGACCUCUACCCCCUCACGGCGCGUCAAACGGAAUUUCACAGCACGGCGACCGGCCUCUGCCGCCGCCCCACUCCAGUGCCAACAGCGGUGUCUUGUCCUACGGGGACCGCCCGCCGCCGCCUCACAGCAGUGCCAACAACAGCGUGUUAUCACAGUACGGCGACAGACCGCUGCCUCCGCACUCCAGCGGCGGCGCUCUGCCCUACGGCGACCGGCCGCUGCCGCCCCACUCCAGCGCCAGUGGGAUGCCCGGGUACGGGGAGCGGCCCCUGCCGCCCCACAGUGCGGCCCCUGCGUCACCCGCGGCACCGCCGGACCGGCCCCCACUGCCGCCACACAGCGCCGCCGGCGGCGCGCCGCUGUCGUCACCCUACGGCGAGCGGCGCCCGUCGGGCCCGGAGCCGAUGGCGCAGCGCCGCCGCAGUCGCACCGAGAGCUUCUCCGAUCUGCCGCCGCCGCCGCCGCCGGCCUCGGCCGCGCCCGCGGUGCGGUUCGAGGAGCCGCCGCCGGCGCGGCCGCCGCCGCCCCAGGAGCUGUACGGCGAGCCGCUGCCGCCGCCGCCGCCGCCGGCGCAGACGCACCCGCUGUACGGCCAGCCGCCGCAGCGACCGCCGCCGCCGGCGCAGCAGGCCGGAUACGACGCCGGCAACCCGUGGACGCGCGAGGAGCGAGAAAAGCAGGAGGAGAAUCGCAAGAAGGAGGUGGCCCGCAAGUACCGCGACCAGCUGAUUGAGUACCUGGAGGGACUGCCGAACCGCUCCCGCCGCGAGCAGGAGCAGCUGCAGGCGCUGGUGCUCGAGAAGCGCUUCCAGGAGCGCUGUGACCUCGGCGGCGAUGACGAUGACGAGGAUGAAGAUGAUGAUGAUGAUAACCAGGAGAUGAACAACUCGCGGGCCGACUCGGACGUGCCGCCGCCACCGCCGUCCGAGCAGCCGCCGGCUCUCCCGAGCUCUGAGCAGCUGGAGCGGCCGCCGGCGCCGGGGGCCGGCAGUCGAACGGACGAGGUGCGCCGGCGCCAGGCGGAGCUCGAGGCCGCCCAGCAGGCCGAGCAGGGCAUCCUGCGCGAGGCGCAGCGGCGCCGCCAGAUGGAGGAGGACCGCCAGCGCCGCCAGAUGGACGAGGACAGGCAGCGCGUGGCGGCCGCCCGGCCGCACCGUCUCGUUCGGCGCGGUGACCACGGCCGGUGAGCUGCGGCCGCCGGCCGUGCCGCCCAAACCGGAGGUAGCCGUGGCGUCUGUGGUGAGCACGCGGCGCGUGCAGCUGAACGAGCCGGCCGGCACGCCGCCGCCGCCGCUGCAGCCGGCCGGCGGCGGCCGACACCACGAUCCGGACCGGUUCAUUGACGAGGCGCGACAGAUGAUGGCCGCUACCAGCAUCUCGCCGCCCGAGGGACCCACCUCCUCCAGUGUGGACGCCAGCGCCACGCCGGGCGUCAUCGGCGCUCAGGAGGUGUACAGGGACCCGCGCACUCGGCGUCUGGCGCUGAUGCAGGACCGCCAGCCGGAGCACUCUCCCGUGCCGGAGAAACUCUCCUUCAAGGAGAAGAUGAAGAUGUUUGCUGCCGAGACCGGCUAACUGUCCAGCUGCCCCAGAGACCAGGCGGCGCCGAGCGAGGACGCAGAGGAAGAGAGAGUGAGCUUCUCACCACUAACCCCACACAACACACCACUAACCGGCCGGCCGUCCGACCAGGGCGGCAGCUUGUGAUCGAGACUGGCGAGCGCCGCCGUCGCUACAUCCGUCCGUCCGUUAGAGAGAAUAGCGUCUAUUUUACACAGUGCAUAUCAUCAUAUACCGCCCGCCGGCGGCGGCAGCGGUGGGUUGUGAUGUUGGACGUCCGGCCGACUAGUUUGUAGCGAGCUGCGGCGCCGGGGCUGCUGGACCUCCGUGGGCCCUCGGGGACUCGCAUGGGCCCUGCCGCCGAGAACGUCAGCUUGCGUCGAUGUCCGUGACAUUUGUGGCCUUUCAUAUUCAGACGGAUGAUUUGACGAAGAUGGGAAGUCGCGAGGUUUCGAUGAGAUUCAUGCAUUGGCAGAUCAUGGUAUUUUUAAAACCUGUAGACCCGAGGCAACUGUAUGAAGUUCUAAUGCUCCGCAGGGGGUCAGAAUCCGCGGCCCGUCCUUUCGCUGUGUCAACUGCCGAGUCGUUGACGGGGCCACGCUGGCCGCUCUAGUUUUGUAUGCUCUUUAUGGUGGGUCUCUGGUGAUCAUAUCGUGUAUAGCUGGGGCCGCGUGGGGUCCAGAGGGCUGCAAACAUGGAACGUAAGCAGCUGUGCGGGGCCGCCUGCGGUCAGCUGUGAUGUGUCCCGGGCAGACCGAACCGGACGCAGCUGUGUUUUACUGGCGACUACGGGGGAGAAAUGGCCGCUAAAUUUGUAGAUAUGUGGUAGCUUGGUGACGAAACAUUUUUAUCGAGAGUAGUUUGAUGUUUAGAGAACACAUUUUAUCGAAAGUACUUGGCUGUACGCCCGUCGGUGCGUUCCUGUGCCCAGAGGUGCCUAUGGUCGGGCGGUUUCCGAGGGGUGCCUAUUGUUGGCAGUGUCGUGUGUCCCAGAGAGGUGCCUAUCGUUGGCAAUGUCGUGUGCUGAGAGGGGUGCCUAAUGCCUAUCGUUGGCAGUGUCCUGUGCUGACGGUACCGUGGCUGUAAGUAGGCAGCUGUGGGGCGGAUAAGAGACCCAGGGGAUGUACAGAGAUUCGUGACGCCUGACGGGCCCAGGACAAAAUAUAUCUCAUGAAUGCCCAUC
RNAcentral lists this unclassified non-coding RNA (6906 nucleotides) under Amphibalanus amphitrite. RNAcentral describes it as "afadin-like, transcript variant X1". Lineage: Eukaryota; Metazoa; Arthropoda; Thecostraca; Balanomorpha; Balanidae. The record is from RNAcentral.